Long non-coding RNA from Eriocheir sinensis (Chinese mitten crab), 2444 nucleotides. RefSeq lists it as uncharacterized. The record is from RefSeq and is a predicted model, not a curated record. NCBI's taxonomy places the organism in Eukaryota, Metazoa, Arthropoda, Malacostraca, Decapoda, Varunidae. The transcript has 3 exons.
AGAGAGAGAGAGAGAGAGAGAGAGAGAGAGAGAGAGAGAGAGAGAGAGAGAGAGAGAGAGAGAGAUCUAUACAGCAAGGUCUAACAAUAGGUACAUCCAGCCUGCCUGAAAGGAAGGAUGAACAUAACCUAACCUUACUCACCUACAUACCUAUGACAAAAUUAAUUCUUACUCAAAUGUUUUUGGGGAAAAUUCAUAAGUGGGCAACAAUUAAAUGACUGUCCAGGGAUGGGGAUUCCAACCCUGGCUGGCAGAUUCAUAGGUAGGCAUGCUAACCACUACACCAUGGAGCCAUAAGAAUUAGCCACACUAUACCAGGACAAAUAAUUCUUAGUGUGUGCCCUGGUAAGAUUCAAAUGUGCAGCCCUGGUAGUGAGUAAGUGUAUGGGGAUUGGUGAGUAAGUUUAUGGGCACAAGUAAGUUAUGGGCAUUGGUGAGUAAGUUUUGGGGGCAGGUGAGUAAUUUCAUGGGCUCAGGUGAAUAAGUUUAUGGGCAUUGGUAAGUAAGUUUAUGGGCACAAGUAAGUUAUGGGCAUUGGUGAGUAAGUUUUGGGGGCAGGUGAGUAAGUUCAUGGGCUCAGGUGAGUAAGUUUAUGGGCAUAAGUGAGUAAGUUUUGGGGGCAAGGUGAGUAAGUUUAUGGGCAUUGGUGAGUAAGUUUUGGGGGCAGGUGAGUAAGUUCAUGGGCUCAGGUGAGUAAGUUUAUGGGCAUUGGUGAGUAAGUUUAUGGGCACAAGUGAGUAAGUUAUGGAUAUAGGUGAGUAAGUUUUGGGGGCAAGGUGAGUAAGUUUGUUUGCACAAAUGAGUAAGUUAUGGGAGAGAGAGAGAGAGAGAGAGAGAGAGAGAGAGAGAGAGAGAGAGAGAGAGAGAGAGAGAGAGAGAGAGAGAUCUAUACAGCAAGGUCUAACAAUAGGUACAUCCAGCCUGCCUGAAAGGAAGGAUGAACAUAACCUAACCUUACUCACCUACAUACCUAUGAUAAAAUUAAUUCUUACUCAAAUGUUUUUGGGGAAAAUUCAUAAGUGGGCAACAAUUAAAUGACUGUCCAGGGAUGGGGAUUCCAACCCUGGCUGGCAGAUUCAUAGGUAGGCAUGCUAACCACUACACCACGGAGCCAUAAGAAUUCGCCACACUAUACCAGGACAAAUCAUUCUUAGUGUGUGCCCUGGUAAGAUUCAAAUGUGCAGCCCUGGUAGUGAGUAAGUGUAUGGGGAUUGGUGAGUAAGUUUAUGGGCACAAGUAAGUUAUGGGCAUUGGUGAGUAAGUUUUGGGGGCAGGUGAGUAAUUUCAUGGGCUCAGGUGAAUAAGUUUAUGGGCAUUGGUAAGUAAGUUUAUGGGCACAAGUAAGUUAUGGGCAUUGGUGAGUAAGUUUUGGGGGCAGGUGAGUAAGUUCAUGGGCUCAGGUGAGUAAGUUUAUGGGCAUAAGUGAGUAAGUUUUGGGGGCAAGGUGAGUAAGUUUAUGGGCAUUGGUGAGUAAGUUUUGGGGGCAGGUGAGUAAGUUCAUGGGCUCAGGUGAGUAAGUUUAUGGGCAUUGGUGAGUAAGUUUAUGGGCACAAGUGAGUAAGUUAUGGAUAUAGGUGAGUAAGUUUUGGGGGCAAGGUGAGUAAGUUUGUUUGCACAAAUGAGUAAGUUAUGGGAGAGAGAGAGAGAGAGAGAGAGAGAGAGAUCUAUACAGCAAGGUCUAACAAUAGGUACAUCCAGCCUGCCUGAAAGGAAGGAUGAACAUAACCUAACCUUACUCACCUACAUACCUAUGAUAAAAUUAAUUCUUACUCAAAUGUUUAGCACAUGAUCAGGCCGUGGUGAACACAUAUCACGAGUCUAGCACAUGAUCAGGCCGUGGUGAACACAUAUCACGAGUCCAGUACAUCAGGCCGUGGUGAACACAUAUCACGAGUCUAGCACAUGAUCAGGCCGUGGUGAACACAUAUCACGAGUCUAGCACAUGAUCAGGCCGUGGUGAUUACAUAUCACGAGUCUAGCACAUGAUCAGGCCGUGGUGAACACAUAUCACGAGUCCAGCACAUGAUCAGGCAGUGGCGAUUACAUAUCACGAGUUUAGCACAUGAUCAGGCCGUGGUGAACACAUAUCACGAGUCCAGCACAUGAUCGGGCCGUGGUGAACACAUAUCACGAGUCCAGCACAUGAUCAGGCCGUGGUGAACACAUAUCACGAGUCCAGCAAAUUAUCAGGCCGUGGUGAAUACAUCUCGAGUCCAGCACAUGAUCAGGCCGUGGUGAACUCAUACCACGAUUCUAGCACAUGAUCGGGCCAUGGUGAAUCCAUAUCACGAGUCUAGUACAUGAUCAGGCCUUGGUGAAUACAUAUCAUGAGUCUAGCACAUGAUCAGGCCGUGGUAAUUACGACGUUAACCCCCGCCCCUUUUAAUUAUCAGCACGCAAUUUACUGACCCUAUUUACCCCUUAUUCGCCACCGAACAUGACCU